AGGAUAAGCGACAUCGGGGCAGGUCCUGGGUAGAGUCCAGGUUGGCGGUUCCUGGGGCAGGGCCAGGAUAGGGCGAUCCUGGAAGCUGGGCUUCGGAAGCGUCCAGCUGUUGUUCCCCACCAGAACCAAAUGAGCGCAAGAUCUGACAAAGAAAAAAAAAGGUUCAUCUUUUAUUCCUCCAAACACUUUCAUUUAAAUCAAGAGGAUGGGAUGUGGUUAUUGCUGUGUUUUUAGACAGAAUCAACGGUUUCUGGGUCUGAGAUGUUGCAUACACCUUCUCAGUCCCUGUAUCCUGAGAUGGAGUCACCUGAGAAUCCACAGCAAGUCCUAACCAGGGAUGGGUCUGGGUGAUUAAGGAAGGUUGGCUUCAGAACUGGGCCAGGGGCACUGCUUUGCUUUUGCUGUUUUGAUCAGCUCUCUGCCUGAAGGAGACAAGAAAAACCAACGGGAACAGCCCAGUAAAGGCGCCAUUCCCCAUUUUACAGCUGGGGAAACUGAGUUACAGAGCUUGUCUGCACUGAGUCAUCAGGAGCAAAUGCUAGAUCAGAUAGGGUCUCUCUCUCUGCCACCCAGGCCAGAGUGCAGUUGACGCAGGGCAGGGGAGCCCCGAAGUGGAGCAUAGUGUGUCCGGAACUGGUGGGUUCUUGGUCUCACUGACUUCAAGAAAGAAGCCGCGGACCCUCGCGAGACGGGGUCUUGCUCUGUUGCUCAAGCUGGA
This 718-nucleotide long non-coding RNA is filed under the name Homo sapiens (human). RNAcentral describes it as "HSALNT0345289". The record is from RNAcentral. Lineage: Eukaryota; Metazoa; Chordata; Mammalia; Primates; Hominidae.